RNAcentral lists this non-coding RNA (79 nucleotides) under Gemmatimonadota bacterium. RNAcentral's name for it is "Gemmatimonadetes bacterium c-di-GMP sequence". It matches the Rfam family "c-di-GMP-I-GGC riboswitch aptamer". The record is from RNAcentral. Lineage: Bacteria; Pseudomonadati; Gemmatimonadota.
CUCGAUAAGGGCAAACCGCCGGCGACGGCGGGGCGCAAAGCCAAGGGGUCUCAGCGAUGAGAUUGCCCGGCUGCCAGAG